RNAcentral lists this ribosomal RNA (441 nucleotides) under uncultured bacterium. RNAcentral's name for it is "bacterial SSU rRNA". It matches the Rfam family "Bacterial small subunit ribosomal RNA", at positions 338 to 795 of the family's 1533-position model. The record is from RNAcentral.
CCUACGGGGGGCUGCAGUGGGGAAUAUUGCACAAUGGGGGAAACCCUGAUGCAGCAACGCCGCGUGAGCGAUGAAGGCCUUCGGGUCGUAAAGCUCUGUCCUAAGGGAAGAAUACUGACGGUACCUUAGGAGGAAGCCACGGCUAACUACGUGCCAGCAGCCGCGGUAAUACGUAGGUGGCGAGCGUUGUCCGGAAUUACUGGGUGUAAAGGGUGCGUAGGCGGGUAUAUAAGUCAGAUGUGAAAGCCCGGGGCUCAACCCCGGGACUGCAUUUGAAACUGUCUUACUAGAGUGCAGGAGAGGAAAGCGGAAUUCCUAGUGUAGCGGUGAAAUGCGUAGAUAUUAGGAAGAACACCAGUGGCGAAGGCGGCUUUCUGGACUGUAACUGACGCUGAGGCACGAAAGCGUGGGGAGCGAACAGGAUUAGAUACCCCUGUAGUC